ACACUUGGAUCAAUGGAAGUAAAAGUCGUAACAAGGUCUCCGUUGGUGAACCAGCGGAGGGAUCAUUACUGAGUUACCGCUCUACAACCCUUUGUGUACAUACCUAACUGUUGCUUUGGCGGGCCGAGGUCCUCUCGCGGAACCCGCCCCCCCUCCCCGGGGGGUGGCCAGCGCCCGCCAGAGGACCAUCAAACUCCAGUCAUUAAACGAUGCGGUCUGAAAAACAUUUAAUAAACUAAAACUUUCAACAACGGAUCUCUUGGUUCUGGCAUCGAUGAAGAACGCAGCGAAAUGCGAUAAGUAAUGUGAAUUGCAGAAUUCAGUGAAUCAUCGAAUCUUUGAACGCACAUUGCGCCCUUUGGUAUUCUGAAGGGCAUGCCUGUUCGAGCGUCAUUACAACCCUCAAGCUCUGCUUGGUAUUGGGCACCCUCCUUUGCGGGCGCGCCUCAAAGACCUCGGCGGUGGCGUCUUGCCUCAAGCGUAGUAGAACAUACAUCUCGCUUCGGAGCGCAGGGCGUCGCCCGCCGGACGAACCUUCCUGAACUUUUCUCAAGGUUGACCUCGGAUCAGGUAGGGAUACCCCGCUGAACUUA
RNAcentral lists this ribosomal RNA (593 nucleotides) under fungal sp. RNAcentral describes it as "eukaryotic LSU rRNA". The stretch from base 240 to 393 matches the Rfam family "5.8S ribosomal RNA". The record is from RNAcentral. Lineage: Eukaryota; Fungi.